Molecule: ribosomal RNA, 405 nt
Filed under: uncultured Butyricicoccus sp.
Lineage: Bacteria; Bacillati; Bacillota; Clostridia; Eubacteriales; Butyricicoccaceae
Description: bacterial SSU rRNA
Rfam family: Bacterial small subunit ribosomal RNA
Source: RNAcentral
UGGGGAAUAUUGCGCAAUGGGGGCAACCCUGACGCAGCAACGCCGCGUGAUUGAUGAAGGUCUUCGGAUUGUAAAAAUCUUUAAUUAGGGACGAAACAAAUGACGGUACCUAAAGAAUAAGCUCCGGCUAACUACGUGCCAGCAGCCGCGGUAAUACGUAGGGAGCAAGCGUUAUCCGGAUUUACUGGGUGUAAAGGGCGUGUAGGCGGGUCUGUAAGUUGGAAGUGAAAUCUGGGGGCUCAACCCCCAAACUGCUUUCAAAACUGCGGAUCUUGAGUGAUGGAGAGGCAGGCGGAAUUCCCAGUGUAGCGGUGAAAUGCGUAGAUAUUGGGAGGAACACCAGUGGCGAAGGCGGCCUGCUGGACAUUAACUGACGCUGAGGCGCGAAAGCGUGGGGAGCAAACA